Long non-coding RNA from Musca domestica (house fly), 985 nucleotides. RefSeq lists it as uncharacterized. The record is from RefSeq and is a predicted model, not a curated record. NCBI's taxonomy places the organism in Eukaryota, Metazoa, Arthropoda, Insecta, Diptera, Muscidae. The transcript has 2 exons.
GAAUCCUAAAUUUGAGAAAUUAUUUUUUUUUAUAUUCCUUUUAAAAAGUUUCAAUACCUAAAAAUAUAUGUAACUUAGGAGCCGCAGCAUUAUCAUAUUACGAAAUCGUAAAAAGCAAUUGCAACGUGAUGAAGGCUAAUGCAAAAUGCACCUGAAUACAUAAAGUUUCUUCAGAUGGAACGAUAUUAAAUUAUUUUUUCGAAUCGACGACACAUUUCGGGGAUAUGUCUGACAAUACGAGCUGAAUUAACUCUCGAAUUCUUUAGAAGAAAUCCUCAAAUUGAUCAUCAUUGGCAAGCUCUUACAUAAGAAUACCUCCAAUAUUUUCAAAGCUUGAAGAACAACAUUGACACAAUACUGUCCUCAAAGUGUUAUUGCGGUUUAAUAUCAGCAGGCAUCAUUGGAUCUAACUUUUACGAAAAUUGGUUAUAUCAAAAGUUAUAGUAAAAUAUUUGCGUAUGAUCAGAGUAGGAUGGUAUUGAUCGGACAACGUUUACAUUCAACAAAGAUUUCGUUGCUUGAUAGAGACGGAUGCCCCAUUCGAGUGUAGUUCAAGCGGUCAGAGAGACAUGCCCGAAUAUGCAAUAAUAGAUAAUUAACUUCUUGACCUUGAAACUGAAUUUAAACGUCAAUUAAUGAUUUCAAAAGAGAAUUAUCUUCCCUCCAACGCUGUCAUUCUUAUUUCAACAUGCGAUCAUGAGAAGAAAAUACCCCUUGUUUGGAGACAUCUCCGUGCAGCCCAAGUCGACUAUUCAACCCAAUUUAUUUUGAAUUUUUAUGGAAAUAUAGCCACAAUACUUGCGUCCACAUAAAUGCAGGGAUUUGUAGCCACAGCUUUCUGCAAUUUUAAAUUAGAAUGAUUGCAAUUUGCACGCUCGAUUAAGAAAAAUUAAAACUUAUAUAAAAAGUGAAGGCUUAAAUAUCAUAGUAAUUAGUUUUCACUAGAAUGUGAUCUCUAAAAAAUAUAUAUCCUGGCACAAUGUGA